Molecule: ribosomal RNA, 426 nt
Filed under: uncultured bacterium
Lineage: Bacteria
Description: bacterial SSU rRNA
Rfam family: Bacterial small subunit ribosomal RNA
Source: RNAcentral
UCGAGAGGCUUCGGCAAUGGGGGAAACCCUGACCGAGCGACGCCGCGUGAGGGAUGAAGGCCCUUGGGUUGUAAACCUCUUUUGUUCGGGAAGAAAUGCGAUCAGGUGAAUAAUCUGGUCGUUUGACGGUACCGGACGAAUAAGCUCCGGCUAACUCCGUGCCAGCAGCCGCGGUAACACGGGGGGAGCAAGCGUUGUUCGGAAUCACUGGGCGUAAAGGGCGUGUAGGCGGUUCGGUAAGUGGAAUGUGAAAUUCUCCGGCUCACCCGGAGGACUGCACCCCAAACUGCCGAGCUUGAGUAUGGGAGAGGAUGAGGGAAUUCCUGGUGUAGCGGUGAAAUGCGUAGAUAUCAGGAGGAACACCGGUGGCGAAGGCGCUCAUCUGGCCCAAUACUGACGCUGAGGCGCGAAAGCUAGGGGAGCAAA